AGAUUGAACGCUGGCGGAAUGCUUUACACAUGCAAGUCGAACGGCAGCACGGGGGUAACCCUGGUGGCGAGUGGCGAACGGGUGAGUAAUACAUCGGAACGUGCCCAGUCGUGGGGGAUAACGUAGCGAAAGCUACGCUAAUACCGCAUACGAACUCUGGUUGAAAGCGGGGGACUCGCAAGAGCCUCGCGCGAUUGGAGCGGCCGAUGGCAGAUUAGGUAGUUGGUGGGGUAAAGCUCACCAAGCCUGCGAUCUGAGCUGGUCUGAGAGGACGACCAGCCACACGUGGACUGAGACACGGCCCAGACUCCGUACGGGAGGCAGCAGUGGGGAAUUUUGGACAAUGGGCGCAAGCCGUGAACUCCAGCCAUUCCGCGUUGCCAGGAUGGAACGGCCCUUCGGGUUCGUAAACUGU
This 415-nucleotide ribosomal RNA is filed under the name uncultured soil bacterium. RNAcentral's name for it is "bacterial SSU rRNA". It matches the Rfam family "Bacterial small subunit ribosomal RNA", at positions 26 to 433 of the family's 1533-position model. The record is from RNAcentral.